This 467-nucleotide ribosomal RNA is filed under the name uncultured bacterium. Its description in RNAcentral is "partial 16S ribosomal RNA". It matches the Rfam family "Bacterial small subunit ribosomal RNA", at positions 28 to 507 of the family's 1533-position model. The record is from RNAcentral.
GACGAACGCUGGCGGCGUGCUUAACACAUGCAAGUCGAACGGAAAGGCCCUGCUUUUGUGGGGUGCUCGAGUGGCGAACGGGUGAGUAACACGUGAGUAACCUGCCCUUGACUUUGGGAUAACUUCAGGAAACUGGGGCUAAUACCGGAUAGGAGCUCCUGCUGCAUGGUGGGGGUUGGAAAGUUUCGGCGGUUGGGGAUGGACUCGCGGCUUAUCAGCUUGUUGGUGGGGUAGUGGCUUACCAAGGCUUUGACGGGUAGCCGGCCUGAGAGGGUGACCGGCCACAUUGGGACUGAGAUACGGCCCAGACUCCUACGGGAGGCAGCGGUGGGGAAUAUUGCACAAUGGGCGGAAGCCUGAUGCAGCAACGCCGCGUGCGGGAUGACGGCCUUCGGGUUGUAACCGCUUUCGCCUGUGACGAAGCGUGAGUGACGGUAAUGGGUAAAGAAGCACCGGCUAACUACGUG